This 48-nucleotide non-coding RNA is filed under the name Schistosoma curassoni. Lineage: Eukaryota; Metazoa; Platyhelminthes; Trematoda; Strigeidida; Schistosomatidae. The record is from RNAcentral.
AUCCAGAUGAGGAGGGCCAAAUAGGACGAAACGCGUGUCAAACUGGAU